ACUCUAAGCGGUGGAUCACUCGGCUCAUGGGUCGAUGAAGAACGCAGCAAACUGUGCGUCAUCGUGUGAACUGCAGGACACAUGAACAUCGACAUUUUGAACGCAUAUCGCAGUCCAUGCUGUUAUGUACUUUAAUUAAUUUUAUAGUGCUGCUUGGACUACAUAUGGUUGAGGGUUGUAAGACUAUGCUAAUUAAGUUGCUUAUAAAUUUUUAUAAGCAUAUGGUAUAUUAUUGGAUAAAUAUAAUAAUUUUUAUUCAUAAUAUUAAAAAAUAAAUGAAAAACAUUAUCUCACAUUUGAAUGUGAAAAACGAAGAGAAAUAUUUUCUUUUUCAAUCAAAUAAUACUGAGAAAUGUCUAGCAUAAAAAAUUGAAAUAUUUUUCAUCUAGAAUUGUCUCUUAUUAAUGAUUCGGAAAUAGAAAAAUCUUGGUUAUGUUAUUAUUCUUCGUUGGUUCGUUAAAAAUGGAUAAAUAAAAACUUUGCAUACAAGAAUUAAUAAAAAUGUUAUAACGAAUUUAAUUAAAUGUUUUAUCAUUAUAUAUAAAGAAUUUAUGGCAAGAUAAAGUUAUAUACAACCUCAACUCAUAUGGGACUACCCCCUGAAUUUAAGCAUAUUAAUUAGGGGAGGAAAAGAAACUAACAAGGAUUUUCUUAGUAGCGGCGAGCGAAAAGAAAACAGUUCAGCACUAAGUCACUUUGUCUAUAUGGCAAAUGUGAGAUGCAGUGUAUGGAGCGUCAAUAUUCUAGUAUGAGAAAUUAACGAUUUAAGUCCUUCUUAAAUGAGGCCAUUUACCCAUAGAGGGUGCCAGGCCCGUAUAACGUUAAUGAUUACUAGAUGAUGUUUCCAAAGAGUCGUGUUGCUUGAUAGUGCAGCACUAAGUGGGUGGUAAACUCCAUCUAAAACUAAAUAUAACCAUGAGACCGAUAGUAAACAAGUACCGUGAGGGAAAGUUGAAAAGAACUCUGAAUAGAGAGUUAAACAGUACGUGAAACUGCUUAGAGGUUAAGCCCGAUGAACCUGAAUAUCCGUUAUGGAAAAUUCAUCAUUAAAAUUGUAAUAUUUAAAUAAUAUUAUGAGAAUAGUGUGCAUUUUUUCCAUAUAAGGACAUUGUAAUCUAUUAGCAUAUACCAAAUUUAUCAUAAAAUAUAACUUAUAGUUUAUUCCAAUUAAAUUGCUUGCAUUUUAACACAGAAUAAAUGUUAUUAAUUUGAUAAAGUGCUGAUAGAUUUAUAUGAUUACAGUGCGUUAAUUUUUCGGAAUUAUAUAAUGGCAUAAUUAUCAUUGAUUUUUGUGUUUAUUAUAUGCACUUGUAUGAUUAACAAUGCGAAAGAUUCAGGAUACCUUCGGGACCCGUCUUGAAACACGGACCAAGGAGUCUAACAUAUGUGCAAGUUAUUGGGAUAUAAACCUAAUAGCGUAAUUAACUUGACUAAUAAUGGGAUUAGUUUUUUAGCUAUUUAUAGCUAAUUAACACAAUCCCGGGGCGUUCUAUAUAGUUAUGUAUAAUGUAUAUUUAUAUUAUUUAUGCCUCUAACUGGAACGUACCUUGAGCAUAUAUGCUGUGACCCGAAAGAUGGUGAACUAUACUUGAUCAGGUUGAAGUCAGGGGAAACCCUGAUGGAAGACCGAAACAGUUCUGACGUGCAAAUCGAUUGUCAGAAUUGAGUAUAGGGGCGAAAGACCAAUCGAACCAUCUAGUAGCUGGUUCCUUCCGAAGUUUCCCUCAGGAUAGCUGGUGCAUUUUAAUAUUAUAUAAAAUAAUCUUAUCUGGUAAAGCGAAUGAUUAGAGGCCUUAGGGUCGAAACGAUCUUAACCUAUUCUCAAACUUUAAAUGGGUAAGAACCUUAACUUUCUUGAUAUGAAGUUCAAGGUUAUGAUAUAAUGUGCCCAGUGGGCCACUUUUGGUAAGCAGAACUGGCGCUGUGGGAUGAACCAAACGUAAUGUUACGGUGCCCAAAUUAACAACUCAUGCAGAUACCAUGAAAGGCGUUGGUUGCUUAAAACAGCAGGACGGUGAUCAUGGAAGUCGAAAUCCGCUAAGGAGUGUGUAACAACUCACCUGCCGAAGCAACUAGCCCUUAAAAUGGAUGGCGCUUAAGUUGUAUACCUAUACAUUACCGCUAAAGUAGAUGAUUUAUAUUACUUGUGAUAUAAAUUUUGAAACUUUAGUGAGUAGGAAGGUACAAUGGUAUGCGUAGAAGUGUUUGGCGUAAGCCUGCAUGGAGCUGCCAUUGGUACAGAUCUUGGUGGUAGUAGCAAAUAAUCGAAUGAGACCUUGGAGGACUGAAGUGGAGAAGGGUUUCGUGUGAACAGUGGUUGAUCACGAGUUAGUCGGUCCUAAGUUCAAGGCGAAAGCCGAAAAUUUUCAAGUAAAACAAAAAUGCCUAACUAUAUAAACAAAGCGAAUUAUAAUACACUUGAAUAAUUUUGAACGAAAGGGAAUACGGUUCCAAUUCCGUAACCUGUUGAGUAUCCGUUUGUUAUUAAAUAUGGGCCUCGUGCUCAUCCUGGCAACAGGAACGACCAUAA
Molecule: ribosomal RNA, 2530 nt
Filed under: Drosophila melanogaster (fruit fly)
Lineage: Eukaryota; Metazoa; Arthropoda; Insecta; Diptera; Drosophilidae
Description: eukaryotic LSU rRNA
Rfam family: Eukaryotic large subunit ribosomal RNA (bases 573-2530)
Source: RNAcentral